GAUGGGGUAGUUUAAAAAAAUAUGAGGUUGUCAUUCUCAAGAUGCUUAAAAAGUUCCUAUCU
Molecule: transfer RNA, 62 nt
Filed under: Tapes dorsatus
Lineage: Eukaryota; Metazoa; Mollusca; Bivalvia; Venerida; Veneridae
Also listed under: 1 other name
Description: tRNA-Asp
Source: RNAcentral